Molecule: non-coding RNA, 158 nt
Filed under: uncultured Butyricimonas sp.
Lineage: Bacteria; Pseudomonadati; Bacteroidota; Bacteroidia; Bacteroidales; Odoribacteraceae
Source: RNAcentral
CAUCAACCGGAUGAAAAGGGAAUCGGGUGAAAAUCCCGGACAGUCCUCGCUGCUGUAAAACUCCAUUCAACGUCUUGAUAUAUACUUUUUCCACUGGUUUACGAGAAAUCGGGAAGGAAUCGGGACGGGAGCCAGUCAGAAGACCUGCCAUUCAUUAA